RNAcentral lists this long non-coding RNA (1758 nucleotides) under Homo sapiens (human). Its description in RNAcentral is "HSALNT0343061". The record is from RNAcentral. Lineage: Eukaryota; Metazoa; Chordata; Mammalia; Primates; Hominidae.
AAAAAUCCCCCUCCUGCUGCACUCCUCCGCCACCGGGCUAGGUUGAAAGGAAAAAGCCAAGAAGCGCGAAGCAGCCCGGCUCUGGAAGGCUUUGGAGAGUCCAGCUGACUUGUACACAAUUCGCGGCCUCUGGAGCCUUACCUGCCUUCUUGACUGAAUGCCACCAGUUCGUUUUACGCUUGUGGCCUGUGAGGUGUGUCCCUCCAGACUGAGAGGCUAUGACUCAGGGUUGGACUUUAUGGAAAAAAAGAAGUUUAUAAAACAAGUAACCCAGUUUCUCCAACCUUUACUGUGGAGCAACAGCGUCAAGCAACAAAACCCAGCAAAGUUUUGCUUGUCACUUACAAGGGUGUUACUGAAAUCUGGAAGGCGAACAAUUAGAAGAUAGCCCAAACAUGCUCUAUUGCUCUACACUGAAAUACUUGCCUCCAAUAAUAGAAAAAACCUGUUUUCGUGCAAUUGAUUGAUUAGCGUUCUGCAGCAGUCCCUGGACAAUUUUAAAGACAUUUUGUGUUUGUGGCCAAAAUUAGAAACAAGCAGACACACACACAAAACAACCAUAUUCAAGACACGGUUCGACUGUUUCCUUGACACUACCCACGAAGUUUAAAGCAUUUUUUAUGUUAUUUUCAAACUUUCUUAAGUGAUCCCAUGAAAUAAAAGUCGAUAAUAGAAAUUAAAACAACACAGAGCAAAGAACGAGCUUAGUGAAAUGGAGAAGCAGUAGAGGUAAAUAAAAAUCCUCGAGCUAGAAAGCUCUAAGAACCGCUUAUAAAUUCAGUUACCUCCUGAACUCCGGCCGAUGGCCACUCCGGCCCGGGAGUGCCCCGCGCCGACCCGCUGGCCUUGGCCGUCUCAGCCUUCAUUAUCGCCACGGCCUUGGCGCCCCCUGCCCCCGGCUGCCCAGGGGAACCAAGUUCCCGCUGCUGGAGUUGGGGCAGAGGAGCCCCGCCUCAUUCAGGAUUCGGUGGCCAGCGCAGAGCCAUUUGAAUAGAAGAAGCCCGAAGUGAAACAGAAAAGCUGAAAACUCCCCGGCUGGGCUCUCCACUUCUCGGUUCUUGCUCACGAGUUCCAAACAGUUAAAGUGACGUUGGCAAGGCCGAGGGCCACCGAGCUCUGUGAGACUCCCUUGGAGGGGUCAGGAAACUUAGCUCGAGAAGCUUGGAGGCGGCUGGGAGUUGGGGCGCAACUUCAGUGACCGGGCGCCGCUGCCGGGCUGGGGCUCCCAAGCGUCCGGCUCCCGGGGUGGUCGACGCGGCGCUGCCUUCGAUCAGGUCCCGCCGACCUCGGGCCUCUGGACCACCACCGCCCCAGCUGGUCUGGCAACCCAUCCCGGGCGCAAUCGCGCUCCUCCCCUUCUCCUCUGCAUUCCCGCAGGUCCUGGGGCGGCUCCAUCCCCCCAAGGCUGAGAGAUGGCGAGGGAGGCUCCAAAGAGUUUCGGGAGGGGGCGCCGGAUCUGGUUUAAGAGACCGCGGAACAGAUGGUGGAGAGCUCCUGGAUGAAAGUUUUUGAACAGGCACUCGCUAAUAGACUUGCUUUGACGACUCAGGGUGUAAUUGAAGGGUCAUUUAAUCUAGACGCAAGGUGAAAGAAAACAGGCCCGGGGGUGUGGCAUACCUAAGGAGGAACUAGAGCAUCUUUUCACUAGGUUUGCCUGUCAUUUUGACUUUCCUGGAAAAUACGUUCUUAAGUCAAAUUUUAAGAAUGUCUGAGAAGCAUCUCUGAGUAUCUCUUCCAAAAACCUUUCGUGUAUUUUUU